This 412-nucleotide long non-coding RNA is filed under the name Junco hyemalis (dark-eyed junco). RNAcentral describes it as "lncRNA (ENSJHYG00000017086.1)". The record is from RNAcentral. Lineage: Eukaryota; Metazoa; Chordata; Aves; Passeriformes; Passerellidae.
AGGUGCGCCAGAUGCUCUUCGACCUCGAGUCCGCCUACAACGCCUUCAACCGAUUCCUGCACUCCUGAGAGCGCCAAAAAACGGCAAAAAACAGCAAAAAACGGCAAAAACCAGUACAAACCAGUUCGGACCAGUCCAAACUGGAACCUCCAGAAGUUUGGAAUAAAUGGGAAGGGGAAAAACUCAAAAAUUUGUGAAAAAUUCCUUUAUUUUCUUGUUGUUAUUGGAUCAAAUGGGGAGCCAGUCCCAGUUCAAACCAGUCCAAACCAGUUCAGACCAAUAAAACCAGUUCAAACCAGUUCAGACCAGUCCAGACCAGUUCAGACCAGUCCAAAUUGGAGCCAGCAAAAGUUUGGAAUGAAUGGGAGGAGAAAAACCCCAAAAAUCUCCAAAAUUUGUGAAAAAUUCCUUU